AUUCUCAAACAAAAACGGUAAAACGGAUAACAUCGUUAGAGUCACCGCCAUACACCACCGUGAAUUCUUCAUUCUUCUGUCGGCACUGUCUCACUACGUUACUUCCACGUUUGAUUAAUAAUCUAUAUAUAGAUGGAUGGAUUCAUUUCCCAAUUUGGUUACGACAGGAUUUUGUAAAACGCAACCUCCUUCGUGGUGUCUUUACUCUUUUUACAGUCUUUUAUGUGGAAAAUUAAAAUAAAGGAUUAAUCUAUCUUAUUAUAUCGGUUUAAUUAGUUAAAUGGUCCCUUAAAGACAUUUUAGGUUUCAUAAUGGUCCCUUAAAGAAAAAAAUGUUCGGAUUGGUCUCUUAAAGACAUCUCUGUUAAUC
RNAcentral lists this long non-coding RNA (369 nucleotides) under Trifolium pratense (red clover). RNAcentral describes it as "long non-coding RNA (TPRA_LNC000793)". The record is from RNAcentral. Lineage: Eukaryota; Viridiplantae; Streptophyta; Magnoliopsida; Fabales; Fabaceae.